UGGCAUGUAGGGUCAAAACGGAC
Molecule: non-coding RNA, 23 nt
Filed under: Arabidopsis thaliana (thale cress)
Lineage: Eukaryota; Viridiplantae; Streptophyta; Magnoliopsida; Brassicales; Brassicaceae
Source: RNAcentral